This 445-nucleotide ribosomal RNA is filed under the name uncultured bacterium. RNAcentral's name for it is "bacterial SSU rRNA". It matches the Rfam family "Bacterial small subunit ribosomal RNA", at positions 360 to 793 of the family's 1533-position model. The record is from RNAcentral.
AAUAUUGCACAAUGGGGGAAACCCUGAUGCAGCCAUGCCGCGUGUGUGAAGAAGGCCUUCGGGUUGUAAAGCACUUUCAGUAGGGAGGAAGGUAGUGUAGUUAACACCUGCAUUAUUUGACGUUACCUACAGAAGAAGCACCGGCUAACUCCGUGCCAGCAGCCGCGGUAAUACGGAGGGUGCGAGCGUUAAUCGGAAUUACGUGGGACGUAAAGCGCAUGCAGGCGGCCUGUUAAGUCAGAUGUGAAAGCCCCGGGGCUUAACCUCGGAAUUGCAUUUGAAACUGGCAGGCUAGAGUCUUGUAGGAGGGGGUAGAAUUUCAGGUGUAGCGGUGAAAUGCGUAGAGAUCUGAAGGAAUACCAGUGGCGAAGGCCGGCCCCCUGGACAAAGACUGACGCUCAGAUGCGAAAGCGUGGGGAGCAAACAGGAUUAGAUACCCUGGUAG